RNAcentral lists this long non-coding RNA (434 nucleotides) under Homo sapiens (human). Its description in RNAcentral is "HSALNT0047254". The record is from RNAcentral. Lineage: Eukaryota; Metazoa; Chordata; Mammalia; Primates; Hominidae.
ACCUCUCUUUCAUUUCUUUAAUUGUCCUUUUAACAAUAUGGGGAAUUUCACCCAAGGAAAGGGUCCUCUUCUCGCCCCAGCAGGCAAGGGGUGUUCCUCCAGCGCAAGUUCCGGCCCCAGCUGCCCCCACGUCCCACAGGUCUCCUGCCUUUUGGCACGCACACUCCUGACCACUCGCUGCUUCCGCAUCCCUACUCUGAUCCUCUCCCCAUGCAUCUCUGCCUCCUUAGACAACUGAGAAUUUUAUUGUCUGUUUCCUUUGCCAGACUGUAAGUUCCACGAGGGCAGGGCCUCGUCCAUUUCAUUUACCACUACAUCCCCAGUAUAGAGCAAGAGCCCAUGAAAAUGUUUGUUGGAGAAAUGAAUGCAUGAUGGUGUCGCUGGACAGCUAUACGCAAGCGCAGCCUCCGUUUCCUCCGGCGCGCCUGCGCUCG